Molecule: ribosomal RNA, 484 nt
Filed under: uncultured bacterium
Lineage: Bacteria
Description: partial 16S ribosomal RNA
Rfam family: Bacterial small subunit ribosomal RNA
Source: RNAcentral
AUUGAACGCUGGCGGCAGGCCUAACACAUGCAAGUCGAGCGGAUGAAGGGAGCUUGCUCCUGGAUUCAGCGGCGGACGGGUGAGUAAUGCCUAGGAAUCUGCCUGGUAGUGGGGGAUAACGUCCGGAAACGGGCGCUAAUACCGCAUACGUCCUGAGGGAGAAAGUGGGGGAUCUUCGGACCUCACGCUAUCAGAUGAGCCUAGGUCGGAGUAGCUAGUUGGUGGGGUAAAGGCCUACCAAGGCGACGAUCCGUAACUGGUCUGAGAGGAUGAUCAGUCACACUGGAACUGAGACACGGUCCAGACGCCUACGGGAGGCAGCAGUGGGGAAUAUUGGACAAUGGGCGAAAGCCUGAUCCAGCCAUGCCGCGUGUGUGAAGAAGGUCUUCGGAUUGUAAAGCACUUUAAGUUGGGAGGAAGGGCAGUAAGUUAAUACCUUGCUGUUUUGACGUUACCAACAGAAUAAGCACCGGCUAACUUCGUG